AAAUCUACGGUUUUUCAGUAUUUUGAAGAUGGAAUUCUGGGGUUUUUGGAGGUGGGGUGGAAAGUGAUGCAUCUGUAUAUUGAGAUUGGCUUCAUAGAAAGUACAGAGAAGCCCCAGGAGGCUGAGUUACAUCAGGGCCACUGAGAAUUACAUAAGGUGAUGCAUGACAGCACAUGGCACAUGGAAAACAUACACGAGGAAGAAGAUGACAACAUAAUGUCUUAUUCAGAGCUCUUGGUGCAGCUUCCCGGUCUGCAGUUUGACUUGUUAUCUCCAGGCCUUCAUCAGCUGGAUCUCUUCAGUUCUAAAAUCUGCCUCUGUAAGCCUUGCCUA
Molecule: long non-coding RNA, 333 nt
Filed under: Chinchilla lanigera (long-tailed chinchilla)
Lineage: Eukaryota; Metazoa; Chordata; Mammalia; Rodentia; Chinchillidae
Description: lncRNA (ENSCLAG00000025320.1)
Source: RNAcentral